UCCGUAGGCGGGUCAUUAAGUCAGAGGUGAAAUCCCACAGCUUAACUGUGGAACUGCCUUAGAUACUGGUGAUCUUGAGUUCUAGUGAAGUAGAUAGAAUGUGUAGUGUAGCGGUGAAAUGCAUAGAUAUUACACAGAAUACCGAUUGCGAAGGCAGUCUACUAACUAACAACUGACGCUAAUGGACGAAAGCGUGGGGAGCGAACAGGAUUAGAUACCCUGGUAGUCC
Molecule: ribosomal RNA, 229 nt
Filed under: uncultured bacterium
Lineage: Bacteria
Description: partial 16S ribosomal RNA
Rfam family: Bacterial small subunit ribosomal RNA
Source: RNAcentral